This 253-nucleotide ribosomal RNA is filed under the name uncultured bacterium. RNAcentral's name for it is "partial 16S ribosomal RNA". It matches the Rfam family "Bacterial small subunit ribosomal RNA", at positions 524 to 776 of the family's 1533-position model. The record is from RNAcentral.
UACAGAGGGUGCAAACGUUGCUCGGAAUUAUUGGGCGUAAAGCGCACGUAGGUGGCCAUAUAAGUCAGAAGUGAAAGCCCUCGGCUUAACCGGGGAAGUGCUUUUGAAACUGCAUGGCUUGAGUACUGGAGAGGGUCGCGGAAUUCCCGGUGUAGAGGUGAAAUUCGUAGAUAUCGGGAGGAACACCAGUGGCGAAGGCGGCGACCUGGACAGAUACUGACACUGAGGUGCGAAAGCGUGGGGAGCAAACAGG